AGAGAAUCAGAGGUAGGAAGGUAUGUAAGAAGCAGGUUAACAGGGAAAAGAGAAGGCACAAGGUCUCCAGAUAGAAAACAUAAGGUUCUUUGAUCCUGUUGAUUGCCAGCAAAAUGGAGAAGCAACUUACAGCUCCCUGCUGAGAGUGUAACUCUAGCCAACAUUUUGUUAAGUACCCUGGUUUCAUAAUAUGAAUGUGGAUGAUCCCUCAAACCUUAGCCUGUCAGCACAAAGGUCACAGAAGGGUCACCAGAUCCUCUCUGCCCUCCAGGCAGGUCUUGAUAUAAGACAAUUUUAACCAUAUCUCCUAUGUGGCACCCUACAAAGCUUGAGAAAGAAAAUAAAGCCAACACCAUGGGCCAUCUAGAAUCCACAUGUUAAGAGUAUAUCAAAGAAACUGGAGAUUUCCAGAUUGAAAUGCGCACACUGCAGACUCUUCUCCAUACUACAGAAAACAAAUCUCAAAAUUUCUGCAUGCCCUGAAGUGGAUGCUGCUGAUCUUCUAGUUUAACACUAAUGACUGAAAUAAAAAGAUUUUCAUUUUA
Long non-coding RNA from Myodes glareolus (Bank vole), 545 nucleotides. RefSeq lists it as uncharacterized. Lineage: Eukaryota; Metazoa; Chordata; Mammalia; Rodentia; Cricetidae. The record is from RefSeq and is a predicted model, not a curated record.